This 549-nucleotide ribosomal RNA is filed under the name uncultured Glomus. Its description in RNAcentral is "SSU rRNA". It matches the Rfam family "Eukaryotic small subunit ribosomal RNA", at positions 548 to 1098 of the family's 1831-position model. The record is from RNAcentral. Lineage: Eukaryota; Fungi; Glomeromycota; Glomeromycetes; Glomerales; Glomeraceae.
UUGGAGGGCAAGUCUGGUGCCAGCAGCCGCGGUAAUUCCAGCUCCAAUAGCGUAUAUUAAAGUUGUUGCAGUUAAAAAGCUCGUAGUUGAAUUUCGGGGUCAGUAGGUUGGUCGUGCCACCGGUACGUACUGGUCUCACUGAUUCCUCCUUCCUGAUGAGCUGUAAUGCCAUUAAUUUGGUGUUGCAGGGAAUCUGGACUGUUACUUUGAAAAAAUUAGAGUGUUUAAAGCAGGCUAACGCUUGAAUACAUUAGCAUGGAAUAAUGAAAUAGGACGUUCGAUCCUAUUUUGUUGGUUUCUAGGAUUGACGUAAUGAUUAAUAGGGAUAGUUGGGGGCAUUAGUAUUCAAUUGUCAGAGGUGAAAUUCUUGGAUUUAUUGAAGACUAACUACUGCGAAAGCAUUUGCCAAGGAUGUUUUCAUUAAUCAAGAACGAAAGUUAGGGGAUCGAAGACGAUCAGAUACCGUCGUAGUCUUAAUCAUAAACUAUGCCGACUAGGGAUCGGAUGAUGUUAAUUUUUUAAUGACUCAUUCGGCGCCUUACGGGAAAC